AUUGAACGCUGGCGGUGUGCCUAACACAUGCAAGUCGAACGGGAUCCAUGAGAGCUUGCUCUCGGAAGAUCUAGUGGCGAACGGGUGAGUAACACGUGAGAAACCUGCCCUGGAGUGGGGAAUAACUCGGGGAAACCCGAGCUAAUACCGCAUACCCUUGGAUGAUCGCAUGGUCGACCAAGGAAAGAUUUAUCGCUCUAGGAGGGUCUCGCGGCCUAUCAGCUAGUUGGUGGGGUAAUGGCCUACCAAGGCAACGACGGGUAGCUGGUUUGAGAGAACGAUCAGCCACACUGGGACUGAGACACGGCCCAGACUCCUACGGGAGGCAGCAGUGGGGAAUCUUGCGCAAUGGGCGAAAGCCUGACGCAGCAACGCCGCGUGCGGGAUGACGGCCUUCGUGGUUGUAAACCGCUUUCAGCAGGGACGAAAAUAGACGGUACCUGCAGAAGAAGCCCCGGCUAACUACGUGCCAGCAGCCGCGGUAAU
Molecule: ribosomal RNA, 486 nt
Filed under: uncultured bacterium
Lineage: Bacteria
Description: bacterial SSU rRNA
Rfam family: Bacterial small subunit ribosomal RNA
Source: RNAcentral